UUCUAUAUCUAAUUUGUCACUAGCAGGACUUCCUGUUUAUUUCUUUGCUGCUGUUUGCAAAAUAAAGAAAUAAAUAGGAAGUCCUGCUAGUGACAAAUUAUAUAUAGAA
Molecule: microRNA precursor, 109 nt
Filed under: Marmota monax (woodchuck)
Lineage: Eukaryota; Metazoa; Chordata; Mammalia; Rodentia; Sciuridae
Source: RNAcentral